AAAUAUCCAUCACCUAAAUUUCCAUCACCUAAGCAAAGCAGUCAUUAGGUGAAUCAUCACAUGAUCCUGCCAUUUAGUGAUGGUAGUUCCAGUUGAACUAGUUAGACAAGGAUCUCACGUUUUUCCCGCCUGUCUGACCUCCACUUCAACUCCAUCUAUCUCCUGUCCCAUCUCUAUCCUUUUGGAUGCCCUGCACUCUACCACCCCGCU
Non-coding RNA from Pseudonaja textilis, 210 nucleotides. NCBI's taxonomy places the organism in Eukaryota, Metazoa, Chordata, Lepidosauria, Squamata, Elapidae. The record is from RefSeq and is a predicted model, not a curated record.